Molecule: ribosomal RNA, 253 nt
Filed under: uncultured bacterium
Lineage: Bacteria
Description: partial 16S ribosomal RNA
Rfam family: Bacterial small subunit ribosomal RNA
Source: RNAcentral
UACGUAGGGGGCAAGCGUUGUCCGGAAUCAUUGGGCGUAAAGAGCGUGUAGGCGGCCAGAAAAGUCCGCUGUGAAAACUCGAGGCUCAACUUCGAGCUGUCGGUGGAAACUUUCUGGCUAGAGUCCGGAAGAGGAGAAUGGAAUUUCUGGUGUAGCGGUGAAAUGCGCAGAUAUCAGGAAGAACACCCGUGGCGAAGGCGGUUCUCUGGGACGGUACUGACGCUGAGACGCGAAAGCGUGGGGAGCGAACAGG